GAUGAACGCUGGCGGCGUGCCUAAUACAUGCAAGUCGAGCGAACGGACGAGAAGCUUGCUUUUCUGAUGUUAGCGGCGGACGGGUGAGUAACACGUGGAUAACCUACCUAUAAGACUGGGAUAACUUCGUGAAACCGGAGCUAAUACCGGAUAAUAUUUUGAACCGCAUGGUUCAAGAGUGAAAGACGGUCUUGCUGUCACUUAUAGAUGGAUCCGCGCUGCAUUAGCUAGUUGGUAAGGUAACGGCUUACCAAGGCAACGAUGCAUAGCCGACCUGAGAGGGUGAUCGGCCACACUGGAACUGAGACACGGUCCAGACUCCUACGGGAGGCAGCAGUAGGGAAUAUUCCGCAAUGGGCGAAAGCCUGACGGAGCAACGCCGCGUGAGUGAUGAAGGUCUUCGGAUCGUAAAACUCUGUUAUUAGGGAAGAACAGAUGUGUAAGUAAAUGUGCACAUAUUGACGUUACCUAAUCAGAAAGCCACGGCUAACUACGUG
This 497-nucleotide ribosomal RNA is filed under the name uncultured bacterium. RNAcentral's name for it is "partial 16S ribosomal RNA". It matches the Rfam family "Bacterial small subunit ribosomal RNA", at positions 28 to 507 of the family's 1533-position model. The record is from RNAcentral.